Molecule: ribosomal RNA, 424 nt
Filed under: uncultured bacterium
Lineage: Bacteria
Description: partial 16S ribosomal RNA
Rfam family: Bacterial small subunit ribosomal RNA
Source: RNAcentral
AAUAUUGGACAAUGGGCGAAAGCCUGAUCCAGCCACGCCGCGUGUGUGAACAAUUUCCUCGGAUUNUAUAUCACUUUAAGUUGGGANGAAGGGCUGUAGGUUAAUACCCUGCACUUUUGACGUUACCACCACACUCAGCACUGGCUAACUUCGUGCCAGCAGCCGCGGUAAUACGAAGGGUGCAAGCGUUAAUCGGUAUUACUGGGCGUAAAGCGCGCGUAGGUGGUUCGUUAAGUUGGAAGUGAAAGCCCCGGGCUUAACCUGGGAAUUGCUUUAAAAACUGCUGAGCUAGAGUACGGUAGAGGGUAGUGGAAUUUCCUGUGUAGCGGUGAAAUGCGUAGAUAUAGGAAGGAACAUCAGUGGCGAAGGCGACUACCUGGACUGAUACUGACACUGAGGUGCGAAAGCGUGGGGAGCAAACAGG